GAUGAACGCUGGCGGCGUGCUUAACACAUGCAAGUCGAACGAACCCGACCUUCGGGUCAUAUGGGUGAGUGGCGAACGGGUGAGUAACACGUGAGAAACCUGCCCCAAAGUUUGGAAUAACUCAGGGAAACUUGAGCUAAUACCAGAUGCCCUUUUCGGAUCGAGUGGUCUGAUAAGGAAAGAUUUAUCGCUUUGGGAGGGUCUCGCGGCCUAUCAGCUUGUUGGUGAGGUAAUGGCUCACCAAGGCAUUGACGGGUAGCUAGUCUGAGAGGACGAAUAGCCACACUGGGACUGAGACACGGCCCAGACUCCUACGGGAGGCAGCAGUGGGGAAUCUUGCACAAUGGGCGAAAGCCUGAUGCAGCGACGCCGCGUGGGGGAUGAAGGCCCUAGGGUCGUAAACCCCUUUCAGUGGGGACGAAAAUGACGGUACCCACAGAAGAAGGUCCGGCCAACUACG
RNAcentral lists this ribosomal RNA (460 nucleotides) under uncultured Acidimicrobiales bacterium. RNAcentral's name for it is "bacterial SSU rRNA". It matches the Rfam family "Bacterial small subunit ribosomal RNA", at positions 28 to 505 of the family's 1533-position model. The record is from RNAcentral. Lineage: Bacteria; Bacillati; Actinomycetota; Acidimicrobiia; Acidimicrobiales.